RNAcentral lists this ribosomal RNA (460 nucleotides) under uncultured bacterium. RNAcentral describes it as "partial 16S ribosomal RNA". It matches the Rfam family "Bacterial small subunit ribosomal RNA", at positions 338 to 795 of the family's 1533-position model. The record is from RNAcentral.
CCUACGGGAGGCAGCAGUGAGGAAUAUUGGUCAAUGGACGAGAGUCUGAACCAGCCAAGUAGCGUGAAGGAUGACUGCCCUAUGGGUUGUAAACUUCUUUUAUAUGGGAAUAAAAUGUUCCACGUGUGGGAUUUUGUAUGUACCAUAUGAAUAAGGAUCGGCUAACUCCGUGCCAGCAGCCGCGGUAAUACGGAGGAUCCGAGCGUUAUCCGGAUUUAUUGGGUUUAAAGGGAGCGUAGGUGGAUUGUUAAGUCAGUUGUGAAAGUUUGCGGCUCAACCGUAAAAUUGCAGUUGAAACUGGCAGUCUUGAGUACAGUAGAGGUGGGCGGAAUUCGUGGUGUAGCGGUGAAAUGCUUAGAUAUCACGAAGAACACCGAUUGCGAAGGCAGUUCACUGGACUGCAACUGACACUGAGGCUCGAAAGUGUGGGUAUCAAACAGGAUUAGAUACCCUUGUAGUG